Molecule: ribosomal RNA, 463 nt
Filed under: uncultured bacterium
Lineage: Bacteria
Description: partial 16S ribosomal RNA
Rfam family: Bacterial small subunit ribosomal RNA
Source: RNAcentral
GACGAACGCUGGCGGCGUGCUUAACACAUGCAAGUCGAACGGAAAGGCCUUUUCGGAGGUACUCGAGUGGCGAACGGGUGAGUAACACGUGGGUGAUCUGCCCUGCACUCUGGGAUAAGCCUGGGGAACUGGGUCUAAUACCGGAUAGGACCGCACUUUAGUGUGUGUGGUGGAAAGUUUUUUCGGUGUAGGAUGAGCCCGCGGCCUAUCAGCUCGUUGGUGGGGUAAUGGCCUACCAAGGCGGCGACGGGUAGCCGCACUGAGAGGUUGGUCGGCCACAUUGGGACUGAGAUACGGCCCAGACUCCUACGGGAGGCAGCAGUGGGGAAGAUUGCACAAUGGGCGCAAGCCUGAUGCAGCGACGCCGCGUGGGGGAUGACGGCCUUCGGGUUGGAAACUCCUUUCGCCAGGGACGAAGCGUUUUGUGACGGUACCUGGAGAAGAAGCACCGGCUAACUACGUG